Long non-coding RNA from Rhincodon typus (whale shark), 4083 nucleotides. RefSeq lists it as uncharacterized. The record is from RefSeq and is a predicted model, not a curated record. Lineage: Eukaryota; Metazoa; Chordata; Chondrichthyes; Orectolobiformes; Rhincodontidae. The transcript has 3 exons.
CCUUUAGCAGGGAGACCAGAAUUGAAUGCAGUAUUCCAAAAGUGGCCUAAUCAAUGUCCUGUACAGUCUCGAUAUGACCUCCCAACUCCACGUACAAAACUGUCUACCCGAGACUCCACUUUUAAGGAACUAUGAUCCUGCAUCCCAAGGUGUCAUUGUAUGGCAACACUCCCCAGGACCCUACCAUUAAGUAUAUAAGUCUGCCCUGAUUUUCUUUGUCUUUAAUGUUGGAGAAGUGGUCAGGUUGGAAACAGGGAUUGUGAUGAAUAAAACAACGAGCUUAUAAAGGAUCUGGGUCAGCAUCACACAGUGCUCAAGGUGAAAGACAGAAUUUGUGGUUUGAAAACAGAGAUUGUCAGAAGAAGUGGUGAUAAUGGCUUAGUUUCUCCUCAAAUUCCAAUUUCCCAAAGCUUAAUGGGUGAAAAUGUCUUCUCAUACAGUACUGUUUGGAGCACAGCAGUGUGACAAAUCAGACACAGUGCAAGGAAGAACAUACCAAGAAAGUGUUGUGUUAGGUUUCUUCAGUGAUCUAUUUCCUUAUGUAAGUAGCUCAGCACUUAGAUUUGUGAUUGGUCAGAGAGUUGGUUUGUCAGACUGAUUCCUGGAUACCAAGGGCAAGGAGAGAGUACACAAUUAGGAUUGUAUUUCCUGCAAUUUAGAAGGUUCAGCAGCAGUUUAUUCAAAGUUUUAACAUAUGAGGGGGAACAGGCAUGGUAGGUGGAGAAACUAUUUCCUUUGGUUUGGGAAAUUCAGGAUUAGGACCAUGGACUCAAAAAUCCGAUAGAAGCCUUUCAGAAGGCGAAACCAGGAAGCACAUCCACACACAAUGGGUGGGAGAACUUUAAAACUUUCUACCACAAAUGUUAAUUGUUAGUUUUUAAAAUUGUUAACAAAAGAUAUUGGGCAAACUGGAGGGGACAGAGAAUGAUCCAUAUGUCCAAUCACAGUCAGCCAUGAUGAGUUUGAAUGGGAGAACAGCUUCAAGGGCUGAAUUGCUAUUGACGCCAGACAGGAAUGUGUAUUUAAGGUCACAUUCAGAUCAGCAAUGAUAUUAUUGAAUAGCAGAACAGGAUCAAUGGAUUGAAUGGCCUACUCAUGCAUGAUAUAAACUGGGCCUCUUAAUAUAAUUAACACUUUCCUACAAGUCCAUUACUGACAAGAUGUCUGUUAAAAAGAUCAUAUUUGUUGCCAUUACCUUACAGUAGGCUUAUGGUCUGGUUUCACAAGAUUCUUUGUGACAUUGCUUGGCACUGUAUUGCUAAGAUACGCUAUAUAACUCAACAAUUCAUCACUUUAAAGGAGGGAUCUGCUAUUAAAUAAAAUGAAAACCCAGGACAUCAGAAAACUUGGCACAAGACAUUUGUGAAAAUAGCGCUGCUUAGGCUGUUAGUGACUUCAAGGGUAUGUGCAACUCUUUCAGGCCAUUGAUACAAAAGAAAAAUGCCCAGAUAUGAACAAUAUCCAGUAAUUGUCUAGUUAGGUCAUUUUAUUAUAGGUCUCAGAUAUGAAAUUAUUGAUUUCAGCCUGUGCCCUACUGAAGAAAGUACUGCGAAUAUUUAUUCUUUGAUUUAUCUGAGGGCUGAAGGAGGAUAUUUGGAAAACAUUUUAUUAAAAUUCUAAUUCUGGUAUUGAAUUGUCUCUGGAAGACCUGGAUAGAUGUCAUGUUUAAUAGAAAUGUAGCCUGGCUCUCCAAAUUAGACACGAGAGUUUUCCGAAUGUAAAAUGAAAUGGAAACAGCUGCUGAAAGAAACAUAUUAGAACAGCAAUGAAGAAUGACUCAGAUAACUGACUUAUAUUUUUAGCAAAACUGCUGAAGCUUCCAGAUUAAAUUGAAGAGCAAAUAUUGAAGGGGCCAGAAUAUACAAAGGUUAUGACAACGCCUCGCAGAUGUAGCAGCAGAAGUCAGAGAUGAAAGGAUGGCAAGCUUUUGAAUUUGAUGUCCUUUCACUUGGUCCUGCACAGGGAAGUGCAGAGAUCAUUCUCCCAUCUACCUUUACCUCUCAUCAUAGGGAGAUCUGGUAUCAGCUGAGUUCAGAUAUACCUGGCAUACAAAAACUGAGAGUGAAACAUAAACAAGGCACUCAGAGUCUUGUUGAAGGACUCUGUUAUGUUAGAUAUUUAAAGCUCCUUCUAUAAUGAUUUAAGUGUCAUGCUAAUAUUGCUGGUUAGUGCAGCUGGUAGAAAGAUUACUAGAUUCGCUAGGGCUGACAACUGGGAAGACUCGCUCCAGCUUUAGCCUGGGGAUUGCUCAAUACAAAGGUAGUUUUUGUUGAGCUUUACAUUUUAAUCCAGUGCACAGGAUGCACAGUGCAGCACAGAAUGAACUAACAUUCUCACUCUUCUGCCCAUUGAGGAAAUUUAUCAUUCUAAGCGGAAGGCACAGGUGGCCCAGAUGAACCCAAACGAUGCCGACUCCAAAACCUGCCCUCGGGGCUCGGGCCGACCCCCGUCACUGGGAACUCACACCGGAAUUUUCCGUGGAUUUCACUUGCUUGCACUGGAAGGCAACAUUUGUCAUGAAGCAAGAGAGAAAGCAGCAGUGGGUUUUUGAGAAACUUUGUUUUCAAGGAAUGUAGGCCUCCCCAUCAAGGUCAGUGUUUGCUGCUCCUACCCUAAGUGCCCUUGAAUUGAGUGAUUUACUGGGCCAUUUCAGAGGACAGUAUGAGCCAACCACAUCGCAGCGAGCCUGGAGUCACAUACGGGCCAGAUCAGGUAAGGGUGGGGAAUUUCCAACCCCAAAACGCGAUGAGCAAACGAAAUGGCUUUUUACAACAAUUGAUAGUUCCUUGGCCAUUAUUGAACCAUAGUCACACCAAAGCUCUGUUGGGGACCUUGGGCCUUGGGCUGCGAUGUUAGCUCGGGUGAGUGUGCUUGCUCAGCAAGAAGAUUUCACACCAUCACCCGCCUGAAGACCAGGCAAUUUUAUCUUCGAAACUUUUAUCUGAUCAGGAUGGGAAACAGAUGGUCUCCUCACUUCUUUUCUGAAAUUCUGUGAAGGUCCCUUUAAAGGCCGAAUUAAAGGAUCCUUUUAAAGCAAUGCUACGUUUCCUGAAGCGCGGCUUCUUUUCCUAAAAAUUUGGACCCAAUUCCAGUUGAACCGAUGGUCAUCAGCUAGGCUCACACAUUCCUGAAUGUCGUCAUGGAGGACAGCUCCGCGGCUCUCAGUUAGAACCGGAGAACCGGGGAGGCUGAUGGUGGGAGGGAAUGUUCUCGAUGGGGCAGGUUAAAGUGGUCCCCUUAUGGUCUGAAGGGACAACUCCAUCUCCACCUUGACCUACAAGAAAAGUUUAAAUUCUUUCUUCUUGAGUCCAUUUGCUUCUUCUCACCAGAUUGACUUGAUAGGUGAAGCCAGAAUGGCUGCCCUCUAAAUCAGGCCUUUAAGGAAACUCCAAGCCCGUCCAUUAUAUUCGUUAAAAAAAAUUUGGAUAAGUACGUGAAUUAAAAACAGGUUUGGAGGGAUAUGGGCCAAAUGCAGCCACGUGGGAUGAGUUUAGUUUGGGAUUAUGGUCGGCAUGGGCUGGUUGGACCGAAGGGUCUGUUUCCAUGUUGUAUGACUCUAUGACUCAAUGACCCCAAGAUAUGUGCUGAAACUCCGGUUAAAAUCAGACUCUAAGGAAACCGGCCUUGCAAACAGGAUUAAAAUUGCCUCUAAUCGGACAUUAGAUCAGGUAGCACAGACUGGGAGGGGAGAAAAAAUUGGCAAGCAACAAAAGAAGAGAUUUUUGCAGGGCAUAAACAAAAAAUAACUCACAUUAGACCUUUCAUUCUAAACAUGAGAUCUUUGUUUCAGAGAACACAAAGCUCAAAUGAUUUACUGAGUGUACAGUAAUAAAUUUUGUUGUCCUCCCACAGGAAAUUAUGUACCGACUGCACAAGUUUGGACAAGAAAGUUGUGAUUGAAAUAAUACUGAUAUAAGUAACAGAUGCCAAUAACAACCAAACUCAAACAAAACCUCGAUCAAGAAUAUCGGCUCCCUGGGGAGGUUGUUAGAGAGCGUAUGGAUGAUCCCGUGAACCGUGAGAGUGAAAAAUGGAACUUGGGUUCAAAUCCCAACUCAGCAGACUGUGGAAUUUGAAUUCAAU